GCCCUGAUAGUAUAAACAUUACUCUGGUUUUGUAAACCAGAAAUGAGGAAGUAUCCUCUCAAGGCAA
RNAcentral lists this transfer RNA (67 nucleotides) under Dasymys incomtus (African marsh rat). RNAcentral describes it as "tRNA-Thr". The record is from RNAcentral. Lineage: Eukaryota; Metazoa; Chordata; Mammalia; Rodentia; Muridae.